This is a non-coding RNA of Leptonychotes weddellii (Weddell seal), 1002 nucleotides long. NCBI's taxonomy places the organism in Eukaryota, Metazoa, Chordata, Mammalia, Carnivora, Phocidae. The record is from RefSeq and is a predicted model, not a curated record.
AGACAUUCAACUAAGCUUGGAGCUGUGCUUGUGACUUUGUUUCUUCUUCGCCUUGAUCACUUUUCCCUGUCUUUCCAGGACUACAGCAUGAAGGAAUUUUCCGGGUGUCGGGAUCCCAGGUGGAAGUGAAUGACAUCAAAAACGCCUUUGAGAGAGGAGAGGACCCCCUGGCUGGGGACCAGAAUGACCAUGACAUGGACUCCAUUGCUGGCGUCCUGAAGCUUUACUUCCGGGGGCUGGAACAUCCUCUCUUCCCCAAGGACAUCUUCCAUGACCUGAUGGCCUGCGUCACAAUGGACAACCUGCAGGAGAGAGCUCUGCACAUCCGGAAAGUUCUCCUGGUCCUGCCCAAAACCACUCUGAUUAUCAUGAGAUACCUCUUUGCCUUCCUCAAUCAGUGAGUAGACUUCCCAGUGAGCAGUGGAUCAGGCCUGGGCUUCGGCCCCUGGAAGCUUUAUCCGUAGAGCCGUGUCAGUUCAUCGAGCCCUGUGAAAUCUGUGGAGCGGCGACAGUGUGCAGGGGCACAGUUGUAGGCUGUGAGAAUACAUUGCGAAACGAGACAAAAGCCCUGAUACUGUUUAACUCACAUUCCAGGCUGGGAGACAGACAGAUAACAGAUAUGUCAGGCGGGAAUAAGUGCUUAGGUGAAGACUAAGGAAGUGUAAGUUAAGAGCCAGAGUGCGGGGGGCCCGAAUGGGGGCAGGGGUGAAAGAGGGAGAGCUGCUAGAGAGGGGUGGUCAGCAAAGGACUCUCUGAGGAGACGCAGCGACCUAAAUGGAGUGACAGAAGGAGCUACAAGCGAUGUUCACGGCCAUCAAGCCCCGAGAGUCAUGGUAAUAAUGGGUUUGGAUUUGGGAAGCCACUGGAAGCUUUGAAGCAGAAGAGUGGUAAGAUCUGAUCUAUGUGUAUUCUUGGAAGCCUGCCGACAGCUUUGAGGAGAAGUUAUCGGGGACUAUGAAGAGAAGCAGGGACACCACGCAGAGGUGACUGUGAGGUCUCAGC